RNAcentral lists this ribosomal RNA (305 nucleotides) under Clostridioides difficile. RNAcentral describes it as "partial 16S ribosomal RNA". It matches the Rfam family "Bacterial small subunit ribosomal RNA", at positions 1 to 313 of the family's 1533-position model. The record is from RNAcentral. Lineage: Bacteria; Bacillati; Bacillota; Clostridia; Peptostreptococcales; Peptostreptococcaceae.
UUUUAUUUGAGAGUUUGAUCCUGGCUCAGGAUGAACGCUGGCGGCGUGCCUAACACAUGCAAGUUGAGCGAUUUACUUCGGUAAAGAGCGGCGGACGGGUGAGUAACGCGUGGGUAACCUACCCUGUACACACGGAUAACAUACCGAAAGGUAUGCUAAUACGGGAUAAUAUAUUUGAGAGGCAUCUCUUGAAUAUCAAAGGUGAGCCAGUACAGGAUGGACCCGCGUCUGAUUAGCUAGUUGGUAAGGUAACGGCUUACCAAGGCGACGAUCAGUAGCCGACCUGAGAGGGUGAUCGGCCACAU